UGAUUGUCCAGUGGCAAUAUUUUCUAUCCAAAUGUGUUUUGAGGAAGAAGCCUGAACCAUUUCUAUUGAGCAAUAAUUUAUAACCUACAAGCCAUGUAAUGACAGUCUACCUAGUGCCUCUGGUUUAUAAAGACUAGUAACUCUCAUAUGCAAGAAUGACUACUACCCCAUUUACUGAUAGUAACAGAGGAUCAUGUCCAUAAUAAAACUUCACAGUUCACUUUCUUUGGCUUAUAAAUUAUUCUUCCUCCUACAAAUCUUCACAGCAAUUACCUUGCUGAUAUAAUUCCUGGUUUGCAAAAUCAUUCACCUAAUGACUCCAAGAGCAGGAGUCUUUGGCAUCCUGCUCACAUGUUCUGUUCUUGAAUUUCUACUCAGUUGUAUUAAGGUGCCAGCUGGAUAUUUUGUACAUCUGUUCAAUGAAAAACGUGGUUAUUAAAUAUUAAAGGAAUGAGAUCUGACAAUUACAUGCCUAAAAAAAAUACUGACUCUUGUUCUAAAGGCAAGUAAAAAAAUAUAUAAAUCAAAAGUUGGAGAGAGAAUUCUGUAGAGAUGAUUACAAUAUUAUUAGCAGUCCAAUAGAUAUUUUUAAUAAUAGAAAAAUGUUCAGGGUCUAGCAUUAUGCACCUUGACGUUGCAAAUCCAAUCCUAUUAAGAUCAAAUUGUAACCGUAAAUUAAACUUAAAAAAUGAGUCUGUCAAGAGAUGCAUGGAAAGUGGAGUCAUUCUCCACCACUGAGAAAAGCCAUGUUCCAGCACAGCAUGGGAAAGGAUGUAGUACGUAUGCUGUACCACUUCUGUGCCUAAAAUCUCCAGUUCUGUUAAUCGAGCAAUUCAUUUUUUUUAAAACUAUCGUGGCAGGUUUAUAGCAGAGGACAGCGAUUUGAGGUGGAGAAUUAGUGCACUUUUGCUUGGAGACAGCAUACUGCACGCUGCUUCUCCCCUGCCCCCACCUCCCGUGGAAGCAGGCAUCAUCCAGGAAUGAGUCUGGCUUCAUUUCCUGGACAACAGUAUCCUUUUGUGAGUCACGGGGGGAUGAUACAACAGGAAAUAGGAGAACAUUUCUCCAUUAAGCCCCCUCAAGCCAUGCUAGCAAAGUGCUUACCUUUCUCUGCUAGGACUGAAAUCCUGAGCCUACAAGCGACUAGGAUAUGCCAUUUGCUCUCAAUUAAAAACUGUUUCAGGAGCUCACUGCUGAGGCAGAAACACAUUUGCUGGCCUUCUAAUACCAGCUGGUCUUUAUAUGACCUAUUUAUGACCAGUGGAAGUGCUGAACUACAAUUCUGUACAAGUAACGAAAUGCAAGCAAAGCCACAGUUUGAUAUUUGA
This 1328-nucleotide long non-coding RNA is filed under the name Crocodylus porosus (Australian saltwater crocodile). Its description in RNAcentral is "lncRNA (ENSCPRG00005006023.1)". The record is from RNAcentral. Lineage: Eukaryota; Metazoa; Chordata; Crocodylia; Crocodylidae.